Molecule: long non-coding RNA, 1928 nt
Organism: Mesocricetus auratus (golden hamster)
Lineage: Eukaryota; Metazoa; Chordata; Mammalia; Rodentia; Cricetidae
Exons: 6
Source: RefSeq, a predicted model, not a curated record
CUGAAGUCUUGUCCAAGCCUGUUUUUCACAGCUGGCUAAUUCAGAUAUUUGAAGGACAAAGAUGCAAAGAGCACAAGGGAGCAGAAGCCUGGGCACCGGGGCAGAGGGACUUCAGACUGCAAUGUUCCAGAGAGGCCAUCCGGAGCAGGUGUUAUCAAGGAGGAGAGGAGAAGGAAGAUUUUGGGGGUCCCUUCUUACUCAGGCGGAGGAGUAGAGUGCACCUCAGACCUCCAUUUGCAGACAAGCUGCAGGCCAGCCCCACCCCUCAGAGGCCUUAUAAAAGGUGCUAAGUUCCUGUCCUGUGUAGGAACUUCCAGGGUCUAGAAUUAUGUGUUUAAUGAAGAUUGCCAGUGACUGAAAGCAGGCGACAAUUGCUGAGGAAAUCAAGCUUUUGAAAUCUCGGGGCCUGCCACACUCCGACUCCCUGAACUUUGAGACCAGCAGAGUCCAACAGUGUUCCAGAGACUGUGAGCUGCAGAUUCCAGCAAGGCAAAACCCCUUCAGAAGGCCUGGUGUGUGCCUUGGGCUCUGGCCUGGUGGAUUACCCACCACUACUCGACAAACCUUUACUGAUUCUAGCUUAUCCCCUCCUCUCUGAAUGCUCACUUGACCACAUGACCAUGUGAGGAAAUCUAACCUAUGGACACUUUUGUUUUUUUUUCUGGUGGUGCUGACCAGUUCAGAGGACUUCAGGAGCACAGACGAACAGGGUAUCUACAGUCUGAAUAGCUAAAUACAAUCAGUACUGGGCAAAUCACAGGACCAGGAGGAUAUGUGACUAACGCUGGCUUGGCUCUGUGUCAAAUGGUCUAUUAGCUGAUGACAUCACAAUGAUGCUACAUGUGUUUAAGUUGCUCCUGGAAGGAAAACAAAAUCUGAACCUAAGAGAUACAAAGCAGUAUUAUAUGAAUAUAUAAAACCUCAGUUGUGGAAAACUGAGCUCUGGGCUAUAUACCCUUGUGUUUCAAUAAGCUCAAUUUUCCAGGAUAUGUUACCAGCUGUGCUGACUAGUUUUAUGUCAACUUGAUACAAGCUAGAGUCACUGAAGAGGAGGUGACCUCAAUUAAGAAAAUGCCUCCAUAAGACUGGGCUGUAGGCAAGCCUGUAGGGCAUUUCUUAUUUAGAGGUUGAUGGGGGAGGGCCCAGCCCAUUGUGGGUGGGGCCAUCCUGGGCUGGUGGCUGAGUGAGCCAUGUGGAGCAAGCCAGUAAGCAGCAUGACCUCUGCUGCAGCUCCUGCUUCCAUGUUCCUGCCCUGACUCCCCUCAGUGGUGGACUGUUACCUGGAAAUAAAAGCUGAAAUAAACUCUUUCCUCCCCAAGUUGUUUUUAGUUUCACCACAGCAAUAAUAACCCUACACCAACAGAGGCAGAAAUACCAACAACUUUGACUCCGGAGAGCUGCAAGUUUCUGAGUCCCAAUACCUUAUCCCCAAGGUUUCUUUGCUGUUGGAAUGCCUUGGCAAAGGAGACAACCAUGACUGUUUCGUGGGUUUGAAAAGGAUUGAAGCACUUCUUUAAAAAAACAAACAAACAAACAAACAAACUUGAAGUAUCAUCAAUCAAACAUUGGGAGGAGUUCAAGUUUUAAAAAAUGGACUGCUGCUGGGCAGUGGUGGUGCACACCUUUAAUUCCAGCAAUCGGGAAGCAGAGGCAGGCAGAUCUCUGUGAGUUCGAGACCAGUCUGGUCUACAAGAGCUAGUUCCAGGACAGCCUCCAAAGGCACAGAGAAACCCUGUCCUGAAACCCACCCCCACAAAAUGAGCUGCCUCUGCUACAGGCCAUGACAACAUGUGCUGCAUGCUGCAAGAAAAAGUGCUAUAGAAAUAUGCAAGGGAAAUUGCAUCACAGAAUGCUCCGUAAGAGUUUCCUGAGGAAAUAGGUAAUUGAAUUUGACCUUAAAGAACGGAAUGUUAACAGGUAGAGGUGGA